This 337-nucleotide unclassified non-coding RNA is filed under the name soil metagenome. RNAcentral describes it as "partial contains 5.8S ribosomal RNA, internal transcribed spacer 2, and large subunit ribosomal RNA". The stretch from base 1 to 120 matches the Rfam family "5.8S ribosomal RNA", at positions 35 to 154 of the family's 154-position model. The record is from RNAcentral.
GAUGAAGAACGUAGCAAAAUGCGAUAAGUAGUGUGAAUUGCAGAAUUCAGUGAAUCAUCGAAUCUUUGAACGCACAUUGCGCCCCUUGGUAUUCCAUGGGGCAUGCCUGUUCGAGCGUCAUUUGUACCUUCAAGCUUUGCUUGGUGUUGGGUGUUUGUCUCGCCUCCGCGUGUAGACUCGCCUCAAAACAAUUGGCAGCCGGCGUAUUGAUUUCGGAGCGCAGUACAUCUCGCGCUUUGCACUCACAACGACGACGUCCAAAAGUACAUUUUUACACUCUUGACCUCGGAUCAGGUAGGGAUACCCGCUGAACUUAAGCAUAUCAAUAAGCGGAGGA